This 550-nucleotide ribosomal RNA is filed under the name Geothelphusa miyazakii. RNAcentral's name for it is "partial 16S rRNA". It matches the Rfam family "Bacterial large subunit ribosomal RNA", at positions 1821 to 2625 of the family's 2925-position model. Lineage: Eukaryota; Metazoa; Arthropoda; Malacostraca; Decapoda; Potamidae. The record is from RNAcentral.
GUUUGCUUGAAGUUAUAAGCAAUUUGGCCUGCCCCCUGAUUUUAAGUAUUAAAGGGCCGCAGUAUUAAUAACUGUGCAAAGGUAGCAUAAUCAUUAGGUUUUUAAUUGGAAUCUUGUAUGAAUGGUUAGACAAAAGAACAGCUCUCUUUAUAUUAAUAUUGAAUUUAACUUUUAAGUGAAAAGGCUUAAAUAAGCUAAGGGGACGAUAAGACCCUAUAAAACUUUAUAUUGUGAUUAUAUUUUAGUGAAUUUUUAGAAUAAAGAUUUAAUUUAGUUAUUUGUUAUGUUGGGGAGAUAUAAGUAAAAUAUUAUUUUAACUGCUUAGUAAAUUAUGUACAGUUAUUAGUGAUAAUUGUAAAAGAUCCUUUUUAAAGAUUAAUAGAUUAAGUUACUUUAGGGAUAACAGCGUAAUUUCUUUUAAGAGUUCUUAUCGAAAAAGAGGGUUGCGACCUCGAUGUUGAAUUAAAAAUUCUAUAUAAUGAAGAUAUUAUAUAAGAAGGUCUGUUCGACCUUUAAAUUUUUACAUGAUUUGAGUUCAAACCGGUGUGAG